CCUACGGGAGGCAGCAGUGAGGAAUAUUGGUCAAUGGGCGAGAGCCUGAACCAGCCAAGUCGCGUGAAGGAUGAAGGAUCUAUGGUUUGUAAACUUCUUUUAUAUGGGAAUAAAGUGAGGAACGUGUUCCUUUUUGUAUGUACCAUAUGAAUAAGCAUCGGCUAACUCCGUGCCAGCAGCCGCGGUAAUACGGAGGAUGCGAGCGUUAUCCGGAUUUAUUGGGUUUAAAGGGUGCGUAGGCGGAAUAUCAAGUCAGCGGUAAAAAUUCGGGGCUCAACCCCAUCCAGCCGUUGAAACUGGGGAUCUAGAGUGUGCGAGAGGUAUGCGGAAUGCGUGGUGUAGCGGUGAAAUGCAUAGAUAUCACGCAGAACCCCGAUUGCGAAGGCAGCAUACCGGUGCACAACUGACGCUCAGGCACGAAAGCGUGGGUAUCGAACAGGAUUAGAUACCCGAGUAGUC
RNAcentral lists this ribosomal RNA (459 nucleotides) under uncultured bacterium. RNAcentral's name for it is "partial 16S ribosomal RNA". It matches the Rfam family "Bacterial small subunit ribosomal RNA", at positions 338 to 795 of the family's 1533-position model. The record is from RNAcentral.